GAUACUUGGAGGCUUUUUUGUUGUUGUUUUAAAUAACUGGAUAUUCUUGAAUAGAAACUGGCAUAAUCCAAACAUGGUUUGCAUGCAACAAGCCUUGGAUCCAGCCCCAGCUAGUCUCUAACCAUCUGACUACCCUCAUGUGGCGGCACUGUCUUGAAUCCACAUCUGGGAUGAGUCUGAAAAAUUGAUAAAGUACUGUACAUUUAUUUGUGAAUGUAAAUUUUAUCUAGACAAUCCUCUCUAAUCCUUCAACACAUGAUAAUGUGUCACUGUCUACUACAAGUGUGUGACAAGACACUACAACAAGCAAUGUCUGUCAUGACGUGGCUGCAUGGCUGGACUGAAAUUCACAACUCUGGGGUUAAGAUGAAAAACUGCCCUCCUGUAAAGAAGACUUCAGAUUGACCAUGUCCAGAUUCCUAAGGACACUGAAAACUGAUUCAGAAGGAAGCCUUGGAUCUAGCCCCAGUUGUGCAACAGGGGGAGGAGUUUGGUUUCUCACUGCUGGUUUACAGUUGUAGAACUUCCAGACACAAGGUGGACGAGUUUCAGUUGCUAACCAUCUGACUACUGCCAUGAUGUGGGACCAGUUUACAAAUUUAUUGACCACACAUUAAAAGUCAAAAGAACAGCAA
Long non-coding RNA from Monopterus albus (swamp eel), 635 nucleotides. RefSeq lists it as uncharacterized. Lineage: Eukaryota; Metazoa; Chordata; Actinopteri; Synbranchiformes; Synbranchidae. The transcript has 3 exons. The record is from RefSeq and is a predicted model, not a curated record.